Oncorhynchus mykiss (rainbow trout) is the source of this 335-nucleotide non-coding RNA. The record is from RefSeq and is a predicted model, not a curated record. Lineage: Eukaryota; Metazoa; Chordata; Actinopteri; Salmoniformes; Salmonidae.
UGGAUAUUAACAUGUUAUCAACAUAGAGAGAGAGAGAGGUCAUCCCUGGAUAUUAACAUGUUAUCAACAUAGAGAGAGAGAGAGGUCAUCCCUGGAUAUUAACAUGUUAUGAACAUAGAGAGAGGUCAUCCCUGGAUAUUAACGUGUUAUCAACAUAGAGAGAGAGAGAGGUCAUCCCUGGAGAAUUAACAUGUUAUCAACAUAGAGAGAGAGAGAGAGAGAGAGGUCAUCCCUGGAUAUUAACAUGUUAUGAACAUAGAGAGAGAGAGGUCAUCCCUGGAUAUUAACAUGUUAUCAACAUAGAGAGAGAGAGAGAGGUCAUCCCUGGAUAUUAA